UGGGGAAUAUUGGGCAAUGGGCGAAAGCCUGAUCCAGCCAUGCCGCGUGAGUGAUGAAGGCCCUAGGGUUGUAAAGCUCUUUCACCGGUGAAGAUAAUGACGGUAACCGGAGAAGAAGCCCCGGCUAACUUCGUGCCAGCAGCCGCGGUAAUACGAAGGGGGCUAGCGUUGUUCGGAAUUACUGGGCGUAAAGCGCACGUAGGCGGACUACUAAGUCAGGGGUGAAAUCCCGGGGCUCAACCCCGGAACUGCCUUUGAUACUGGUAGUCUCGAGUCCGGAAGAGGUGAGUGGAAUUCCGAGUGUAGAGGUGAAAUUCGUAGAUAUUCGGAGGAACACCAGUGGCGAAGGCGGCUCACUGGUCCGGUACUGACGCUGAGGUGCGAAAGCGUGGGGAGCAAACA
This 402-nucleotide ribosomal RNA is filed under the name uncultured soil bacterium. RNAcentral describes it as "bacterial SSU rRNA". It matches the Rfam family "Bacterial small subunit ribosomal RNA", at positions 355 to 774 of the family's 1533-position model. The record is from RNAcentral.